AUCUUCUUUUUUUCAUCGGAGAUUUCUUCAGAAUGCUUUUACGACUGGAACCUGGUGAUUUGUUGGAUCUAUUGCGUCGACUCUCAAUUUCAGCUUGCAAAAG
This 103-nucleotide small RNA is filed under the name Caenorhabditis elegans. RNAcentral describes it as "Unclassified non-coding RNA F07A5.9". The record is from RNAcentral. Lineage: Eukaryota; Metazoa; Nematoda; Chromadorea; Rhabditida; Rhabditidae.